RNAcentral lists this long non-coding RNA (518 nucleotides) under Drosophila melanogaster (fruit fly). Its description in RNAcentral is "long non-coding RNA:CR33218 (Dmel_CR33218)". The record is from RNAcentral. Lineage: Eukaryota; Metazoa; Arthropoda; Insecta; Diptera; Drosophilidae.
ACGAGCACUAGCACACGAAUAGAUUUUCCACAACGUUAAGCAUAUGCAAACAUCUAAAUUCUACGGUUCUACAUUCGAUUCCAUUCGAUUCGAUUACGAUUGCCCUCGUUUUUCAGUUUUCUUCGAGAUCCGUUUCUAUGGCUAAAAUAAAUCUUUGGUUGGGUAAACUCCGUGACUCUGUUCUGUCCAGGCUGCAGCAGGGCGAUCCAAUAAUUCCACCCAUCGAAGCUAACAAAAUGAUACCGAGGCCUCAAAAUGGAUUCGUCAGCCGAGCCCUCUACUACCGAGGAUACUACAUUAGGCGUUAAAGGAUUCGUGCCUAACAUGAAAUUCAGUAUAAAUUGAAAAUUUUACACACCGGACUCGUAGUCUCGGAUUAACCAAAUCGAGCCUUGAAACACCGGCUAUGUUACAAAUUAGCUCAGUAAUUUCUUGAACUUUAACAAAUCAUCAGCAGUGAAAUAAGCAUGUGCAACAUUUGGUCUAAAAUCAAUCAAUCAAUAAACAUUUGUACCUUU